AACGCGAAGAACCUUACCUACCCUUGACAUCCUAGGAAUCUGGCAGAGAUGCUGGAGUGCCGAAAGGAACCUAGAGACAGGUGCUGCAUGGCUGUCGUCAGCUCGUGUUGUGAGAUGUUGGGUUAAGUCCCGUAACGAGCGCAACCCUUAUCCUUAGUUGCCAACAUGUAAUGGUGGGGACUCUAAGGAGACUGCCGGUGAUGAACCGGAGGAAGGCGGGGACGACGUCAAGUCAUCGUGGCCUUUAUGGGUAGGGCUACACACGUGCUACAAUGGGGCGUACAGAGGGAAGCCAACUCGCGAGAGGGAGCCGAUCCCAGAAAGCGUCUCGUAGUCCGGAUUGGAGUCUGCAACUCGACUCCAUGAAGUCGGAAUCGCUAGUAAUCGCGAAUCAGAAUGUCGCGGUGAAUACGUUCCCGGGCCUUGUACACACCG
RNAcentral lists this ribosomal RNA (435 nucleotides) under uncultured Aquicella sp. RNAcentral's name for it is "bacterial SSU rRNA". It matches the Rfam family "Bacterial small subunit ribosomal RNA", at positions 958 to 1392 of the family's 1533-position model. Lineage: Bacteria; Pseudomonadati; Pseudomonadota; Gammaproteobacteria; Legionellales; Coxiellaceae. The record is from RNAcentral.